AUUGAACGCUGGCGGCAGGCCUAACACAUGCAAGUCGAGCGGAUGAAGGGAGCUUGCUCCUGGAUUCAGCGGCUGACGGGUGAGUAAUGCCUAGGAAUCUGCCUGGUAGUGGGGGAUAACGUCCGGAAACGGGCGCUAAUACCGCAUACGUCCUGAGGGAGAAAGUGGGGGAUCUUCGGACCUCACGCUAUCAGAUGAGCCUAGGUCGGAUUAGCUAGUUGGUGGGGUAAAGGCCUACCAAGGCGACGAUCCGUAACUGGUCUGAGAGGAUGAUCAGUCACACUGGAACUGAGACACGGUCCAGACUCCUACGGGAGGCAGCAGUGGGGAAUAUUGGACAAUGGGCGAAAGCCUGAUCCAGCCAUGCCGCGUGUGUGAAGAAGGUCUUCGGAUUGUAAAGCACUUUAAGUUGGGAGGAAGGGCAGUAAGUUAAUACCUUGCUGUUUUGACGUUACCAACAGAAUAAGCACCGGCUAACUUCGUG
Molecule: ribosomal RNA, 484 nt
Filed under: uncultured bacterium
Lineage: Bacteria
Description: partial 16S ribosomal RNA
Rfam family: Bacterial small subunit ribosomal RNA
Source: RNAcentral